RNAcentral lists this transfer RNA (85 nucleotides) under Felis catus (domestic cat). It matches the Rfam family "tRNA". From Rfam's summary of the family: Transfer RNA (tRNA) molecules are approximately 80 nucleotides in length. Their secondary structure includes four short double-helical elements and three loops (D, anti-codon, and T loops). Lineage: Eukaryota; Metazoa; Chordata; Mammalia; Carnivora; Felidae. The record is from Rfam by way of RNAcentral.
GCCUGGGUGGCUCAGUCGGUUGAGCAUCUGACUUCAGCUCAGGUCAUGAUCUCAUGGUUCGUGGGUUCGAGCCCUGCCUCAAGCU